CCUACGGGUGGCUGCAGUGGGGAAUAUUGGACAAUGGGCGAAAGCCUGAUCCAGCCAUGCCGCGUGUGUGAAGAAGGCCUUCGGGUUGUAAAGCACUUUCAGUGGGGAAGAAAGCCUUGGGGCUAAUACCCUCGAGGAAGGACAUCACCCACAGAAGAAGCACCGGCUAACUCCGUGCCAGCAGCCGCGGUAAUACGGAGGGUGCGAGCGUUAAUCGGAAUUACUGGGCGUAAAGCGCGCGUAGGCGGUCUGAUAAGCCGGUUGUGAAAGCCCCGGGCUCAACCUGGGAACGGCAUCCGGAACUGUCAGGCUAGAGUGAAGAGGAGGCAGGUAGAAUCCCCGGUGUAGCGGUGAAAUGCGUAGAGAUCGGAAGGAAUACCAAUGGCGAAGGCGGCCUUCUGGACGGACACUGACGCUGAGGUGCGAAAGCGUGGGUAGCAAACAGGAUUAGAUACCCCAGUAGUC
RNAcentral lists this ribosomal RNA (465 nucleotides) under Vreelandella stevensii. RNAcentral's name for it is "partial 16S ribosomal RNA". It matches the Rfam family "Bacterial small subunit ribosomal RNA", at positions 338 to 795 of the family's 1533-position model. The record is from RNAcentral. Lineage: Bacteria; Pseudomonadati; Pseudomonadota; Gammaproteobacteria; Oceanospirillales; Halomonadaceae.